GACGAACCGUGCGAACGUUAUUCGGAAUCACUGGGCUUAAAGCGCGUGCAGGCGGAUGGGGACGUCGGUCGCUGAAAGCCCCCGGCUCAACCGGGGAACGGGCGCCGAAACGCCCCGUCUGGAGGGACGUAGGGGGACCUGGAACUUCCGGUGGAGCGGUGAAAUGCGUAGAUAUCGGAAGGAACGCCGGUGGCGAAAGCGACGUGCUGGACCUCUACUGACGCUGAGGCGCGAAAGCCAGGGGAGCAAACGGG
RNAcentral lists this ribosomal RNA (254 nucleotides) under uncultured bacterium. Its description in RNAcentral is "partial 16S ribosomal RNA". It matches the Rfam family "Bacterial small subunit ribosomal RNA", at positions 524 to 776 of the family's 1533-position model. The record is from RNAcentral.